GUAGAAUAGCAUCAAAAGAUUCAUGUGUAUAUUUCCAUUUGCCUCAAAACUGGGCACAGAAUAAGUCUGGUUGAGCAAGAAAUCAUCACAGACCAGACUUUCCCUGUUUGAAGAAUGGAAGGCAAAUUCAGAACUCAACACUGUUGUUGGGCACUAAGUAGUUUCUGAAGUUUCACUGGAAGUUGUGGGUUAUCACCAGCUAGCUAACAAUAUGUGCACAGGCCUUGCUUAUAAAAUAGAGCUUUCUCCCGGUCAUACAUCAAUUGAUCCAUUCUAUGCCGAAACAAAAAAAAAGCUAAUUGAAGCUCUGCCUAUCGUAAAACAAAACAAAAAAAGCUAAUGAGGCUCUGCCGUUGGCUUUGGAUCUCAAUAUCUCUCCGUUCUGCCUGGCCUAGGAUUGUUUGCUUGUGAUAAAAAGUCUCGAGUAGAAGGACUUGUGCUAUUACAGUUCAACUGGGGGGAUUGAAAAC
RNAcentral lists this long non-coding RNA (470 nucleotides) under Brachypodium distachyon (stiff brome). RNAcentral's name for it is "long non-coding RNA (BDIS_LNC004942)". The record is from RNAcentral. Lineage: Eukaryota; Viridiplantae; Streptophyta; Magnoliopsida; Poales; Poaceae.